Molecule: unclassified non-coding RNA, 385 nt
Filed under: uncultured Phycisphaerae bacterium
Lineage: Bacteria; Pseudomonadati; Planctomycetota; Phycisphaerae
Description: contains 16S-23S intergenic spacer region
Source: RNAcentral
UCCGACUUCACGCCGGCAGUCUCGCUAGAGUUCCCGGCAUUACCCGCUGGCAACUAGCGAUAAGGGUUUCGCUCGUUAAGGGACUUAACCCGACACUUCACAGCACGAGCUGACGACAGCCAUGCAGCACCUGUGCACGUUUCACCCGAAGGCAGCUUACUCGGCUUUCACCAAGAGCAUCCGUACAUGUCAAACCCAGGUAAGGUUCUGCGCGUUGCUUCGAAUUAAUCCACAUGCUCCACCGCUUGUGUGAGCCCCCGUCAAUUCUUUUGAGUUUUAGCCUUGCGGCCGUACUCCCCAGGCGGCGCACUUACCACUUUCGCUUCGGCACGAUCGGCGUCAGAGCCCCUCGUACCUAGUGCGCAUCGUUUACGGCGUGGACUAC